UGACAUAUCAAACAACUCAUGAACGAACUUAAGUAUUAGAGAAAUAAUAAGCACUUAAAUUACCAUCACGUACACCUCAACUUGAGCUGGUCCACUUUCUUUGGUUUACCUAAUUUUAAUCACCCAUAUCUUCGAAUAUUCGAUCACAAUGUUCAUUAUCUAACAAAUUUACCCACAAAUCUUUCAUCGAAUGACUUUUUAUGUAUCUGGAUAUGAUAUUUGAAGGUGAUGAUCAUAUAUAUUGAGGAAGAAGACAAAGGAGGCGCUCACCUAAGCAAACACUUGGUUCCAUGAUCCAUCCAUUCCUUUCAAGCUUUCACUUCUGCACUCAUGAGAAGCAGAGCAACAACUUUCCCAAACAGUAGUAGGUAGUAGAAAUUAGAAAAGAAAGGGCCAUCCUUAUGUUGCGCCGCGUAGACAAAGAGAGAUUAAUUAGUUCAUUUCUCUAAUCAAAGAUUCACAUAAUCAAUCAAAUCCCUCGAGUAAUAAACUAAGCAUCAUUAACUUGUAUAUUAUUAGGGUUUACGAGAGCGAUCGAUUCCGUGCUUAUCAAACCACGGGAACGCCGCCGACCUCAGCCGGCACUACCGCAACGCGGCAGCUUCUCCAUCACUGAUUCCCUCUACUUUUCCGCAGAUCUGGCGACUCACUGCAUCAGGUGUUACGUGUUCCGUACGAUUUGUUUCAGAACCCAGAAAAGUACUGAUACGUACACUCGAAGACUUCUGCAGCAGCAGCAGCCUGAUGACCUAGCUUAACUAAGCUAGUCAGCUUCCAUGUAUGUCUGUGAUCAUUAUAUCUGUCCGUACGAUUUUUAUAUUACUUGAGUAGUUGAUCGAGGGCCUCAUAUUUAUUCCAUUUCUGUGAGGUAAGAUCGCACCAACCUGAGUUCUUGUUAAUUGGGAUCCAAGUACGAAAGCACCCAACUGUCCCCAUUUGUUAUUUUUGUUCGGUCUUUGUUUCUACCCCCCUGCUUAGUCUCUUCCAUGGUAGUGAUCAAUAGUAGUCCUGCAUUAACCAUAACAUGUCAUCCACGAGUUUAUCAUAAUUGCUUCAACAUGAGAUCUAGUUUCCUGUUUCGAUAAACUGCACACUCGCAUACCCACCCACCCACCCACCCAUAAUAGUACGUAAAAGGAUGAAUAUACGUGACCACUACUAGAAACUACUCGGGUAUUUUAGGUCGCAACGGGUAGGGAUAUGAUGCUGAACCUUUCGAAUUUACUUGUUUUGUGAAGUUUCUUGACAUAGUAAAUAAGCUUUGUAUGG
RNAcentral lists this long non-coding RNA (1269 nucleotides) under Fragaria vesca (wild strawberry). RNAcentral's name for it is "long non-coding RNA (FVES_LNC000796)". Lineage: Eukaryota; Viridiplantae; Streptophyta; Magnoliopsida; Rosales; Rosaceae. The record is from RNAcentral.